Molecule: long non-coding RNA, 845 nt
Organism: Schistocerca nitens (vagrant locust)
Lineage: Eukaryota; Metazoa; Arthropoda; Insecta; Orthoptera; Acrididae
Exons: 3
Source: RefSeq, a predicted model, not a curated record
CCAAAACAUUCGCUUCUGGUGGUUUGAUUCCGUGUAGUCGUGAAGUGUUUUGAUAAAAAAUGCCGGCGUGCGUCGCUUACAGGUGUACCACAUCGUUCUGAUUGUAGUGUAAAGUUCAAACAAAUCACAUUUCAUUCUCCAACGCGAAGAGCUCUCUGGGUGAACACUUUGAGAAGGAAAGAUUGGAAACCAACCAAGUCCAAUAAAAUAUGUUUGCAGCAUUUCCGGGAGGAAGAUACUGUCGAACAUCAGUUUCGUCAGUCCGCAUUGGGGAAGAUGCUGUGCCAUCAAUUUUUCCCGCUUAUCCUGCUCACUUGCAAAAGAAAGAGAGGAACGGACCACAACCAGCAAAAAGGCAGAUGGCUACAAAAAGUACUACAGAUAUAGCCACUAAGAGUGCAACUGAAUCUGAAGUGUCUUUACUUGCUGCUGAGACCACACAGUGUUCGAGUGGUAGACAUGAUGAAGCAUCAGCUGUGGUAAAAAAACUCAAGAGGGAUGUGAGUUUUUUGUCAUCAAAAAAUGAAGAAUACAAGAAAAAAAUAAGUUAUUCAGCAGUCAAAAUGACAUCUAAAAAAGAAAGUAACAUCUUUGAACAGUGUUAUUAAUGAACUUAGGAAAAAUAAUCUUAUUGUUGAAAGUGGCCUUACUGUCCUGGAAAGUAUUCCUGAAAUGCAGAAGGAGUUAUUGCAAUGGCAAACUGCAAAAGCUAACUGUCACAGUGUGCCUAGAACAUACAGACCCGAACUACGUUCAUUUGCGUUAAUCUUAUACUUUUACUCUCCAAGAGCACAUAAGUAUGUCAGAAAUAGUUUUAAUACAUGUUUGCCAAAUCCUUGAACAUU